This 100-nucleotide ribosomal RNA is filed under the name Serratia marcescens. Lineage: Bacteria; Pseudomonadati; Pseudomonadota; Gammaproteobacteria; Enterobacterales; Yersiniaceae. The record is from RNAcentral.
CGGUGGUCCCACCUGACCCCAUGCCGAACUCAGAAGUGAAACGCCGUAGCGCCGAUGGUAGUGUGGGGUCUCCCCAUGCGAGAGUAGGACACUGCCAAGC